UGACGUAACAGUACUUAGACAAGAUAUUCCAAUCCGUACUACCGAACGUGCACCGGAAGAUGACGCAACAGUACUUAGACAAGAUAUUCCAACACCUACUACCAACAGUACACCAGAAGAACCCGUUACAGGACAAAGUGCUAGUACUGCUGCAGAUGAUAGUCAAGUGAAGAUCAUUUCCAUAACUUUAAUGUUGAUACUUCUGGUAGCAGUUGGAGUAGGCUUUGGUAUUUACUACUAUAAGAAAAAGCAUCAGACAAAGAUACUACCAGAAGACGAUGACGAAGAAGAAUGUGUUUCUGCCAGCACUGAAAGUAUUUUACCUAAAUCUCCAGUUGCCAGAUCUGCCCCCAAACCAGAAGAACAAAAUAGGGAUGGCCUUCCUAAACCGUCAACGUCUAGAGGCGAUAGUCGUCGGUCCGAUAGACUCAACAUUCCACCUCUACCUGAUUUCCCAGCACUACCUAAACGACAUGGCGGGAGAGUAUUACCAAGUCUAGGAGUUACACCAC
This is a long non-coding RNA of Patella vulgata (common limpet), 512 nucleotides long. RefSeq lists it as uncharacterized. The transcript has 4 exons. NCBI's taxonomy places the organism in Eukaryota, Metazoa, Mollusca, Gastropoda, Patellidae. The record is from RefSeq and is a predicted model, not a curated record.